AGACUGAGCAAAAGAUAGCUUUAAGAACUUAGCUGUAGCCUUCAUUCCUUCAUUGCUGCAUGUUGCUUAAAUAUACAAAAGAACACCUUCAGUUAGUGCUAGCGGUUGGUUCAUUGACCGAUUCGUUGGUAGCAGUGGUUGGUUCAUUGACCGAUUCAUUGACUCCCAAGGCAUCAGCUAGAUUGAAGUUUAGAUUGCUUCUCAUAGUUCCGAUCCUUCCAAUUUCGUCAUCUGUCUUUCUCAUCAUUGCAGUGAACUCUGCAUAAUCUAUUCGUGCAUCAUUGUCCUGAUCAAUUUCUUUGAUCAUUUCAUCCAGUUGAACAUCAUCUAAACCAAAGUCUUUGCAAGCCUGCUGAAGCUCAUCAACUGUGAUGUAGCCACUUUGUCAAAAUAGGUGAAGGCUGCAAUUAAAUUCUCCUCUCUCUCCAUCUUAUUUAAGUGCAAAGUCGCAGCAAGAAAUUCUCCAUAUUCUAUUGUUCCACUCUUGUCAAUAUCAGCCGCUUCCAUUAGAGCCUUGAUUUCAGAUUCCGUCAGUUCGGAACCCACUCUCUUCAAACCCACUUUAAGUUCUUCGAAUGUUAUUGUCCCACUAUUAUCCGUAUCAAGCAUGUUAAACAACUCUUUCAAGCCACCAAUUUC
This 639-nucleotide unclassified non-coding RNA is filed under the name Hevea brasiliensis (rubber tree). The record is from RNAcentral. Lineage: Eukaryota; Viridiplantae; Streptophyta; Magnoliopsida; Malpighiales; Euphorbiaceae.